AUUGAACGCUGGCGGCAGGCUUAACACAUGCAAGUCGAGCGGUAACAGAGAGAAGCUUGCUUCUCUGCUGACGAGCGGCGGACGGGCGAGUAAUGCCUAGGAAUCUGCCUAGUCGUGGGGGAUAACUUGCCGAAAGGUAAGCUAAUACCGCAUACGUCCUACGGGAGAAAGGAGGGGACCUUCGGGCCUUUCACUAUUAGAUUCGCCCAGGUCGGAUUAGUUAGUUGGUGAGGUAAUGGCUCACCAAGACCGCGAUCCGGAACCGGGCUGAGAGGAAGAUCAGUCACACUGGAACUGAGACACGGUCCAGACUCCUACGGGAGGCAGCAGUGGGGAAUAUUGGACAAUGGGGGGAACCCUGAUCCAGCAUGCCGCGUGUGUGAAGAAGGUCUUAGGAUUGUAAAGCACUUUAAGUUGGGAGGAAGAGCAGUUAACUAUAUUUGACUGUUUUGACGUUACCGACAGAAUAAGCACCGGCUAACUUCGUGCCAGCCGCCGCGGUAA
Molecule: ribosomal RNA, 504 nt
Filed under: uncultured bacterium
Lineage: Bacteria
Description: partial 16S ribosomal RNA
Rfam family: Bacterial small subunit ribosomal RNA
Source: RNAcentral